CAGAGCCAGGUUGGUAGCUGAUGCGCCACACAGCAAUUCGCUGCCAUGAUUUGUGUGCCCUGAAUACAGUCGCAUGCAAGAAAAAAAAGAAAAACAAACAGGAAAAAUGAAUAGCUUUAAAGAAAAGAAAGUGUCAUUUCUUUAGGUAAUUAAUUACUAAUUAUACAAUUGCAGCAUUGUCUGUAUCAUUAAAAUUACUUGGGUUUUCAGUACAUUAUAGUUUUAAUUAAACAAAUCCUUGGAUUUUUUUCUCCUCCUUUGUAACACAAAUUCAUUUUUUUUAUUAGUGCCAAAGAAUAAAUUAAUUGUAUAAUUAGUGACUGUUACUUUGUCACUCCUGGAAGGGUUAUUUCCAGGUUGUAUGUAUGCAGUGGCUGGGGAAUGGUUAUGAAAUGCUGUUUGAUACCAAGACUCCCUGGAAGCAGCUGUCUGUGGCUGGGGGUGCUGGUGGAGGUGGGGAUUUGGCAGCACUGGGACACAGCCGGCAAGAAGGGGGUGAAAAACUCUGCCAGGGCUGGCUGGAGGAGGCUGUCAAACACUGGUGGGUAUCCCCUUGCUUACUUACAUGCCUGUGAGUAAAUGUGUUUCAUUUUGAUGCAGAAAUGCCCUCUGGAAGGCAUCCUCAGAUCCUCCAGAGAGGAAGCUGUAGAGAAGCUGUGCCUGCUUCCAUGUGCUCCCCCUGGUACAGGUUCCCUCCCCUCCUAUUCACGGAUCUCCUGCAACACCACUUGCAUUGCUGACACUGGGCACUUUGGAAUUGAACUGGGACCUGAAUUUAUCCUGGGGCUUUUAGUGCUUAGAUCACUUUUGAGUGUGAGAUUCCAAAAUCGCUUGGAAUAUUUGAAAAAUGGUGUCUAUUUUUUUUCUUUCCAUUGGAGUGUGUAUCUGUGGGGUUUUUACUUUUUUUCUUGUCCAUGUUUAAAAUUACUUUUGGCCAUAAUUUCUUUGUGUGAUCUAAGUGUUCUGACAAACUUGACCCUAUGCUGCAAAGCAGUUCUGCAUGGAUGAACCAGGUAGGUCAAGCAAUCUUCCUCUCUGGUUCCUUCCCCUGAAGUUAAAAAUGACCCUGCAACCACAAACCUAGUGCGUAGAACCCAGUGCACUCAAGAGACCCUACAAAAACAAACCAGUGUGUGCACAGCCCACUGCUGAUGAGUGCUGACAUGGUUUCAAAUGUAUUGAUGCUCCUGCUGAUGUGUCCUUUCUGAGGGCAUCAGCAUCAGCAGUCCUUUUAGCUGUGAAAUGAGGAGGAUGACUCAUGAACCAUACAGACGCAAGCGGUGUCAGUACCUUGAUGGUCCAUCAGGUUUCUAACCUGCGUCAGCAGAAUCAGGGUUGAAGAAGGAAACGAGAAUGACAACCCAACCUGGAUUUGAGGGGGAGAAGAUAGUAGAAACAUGGACUUUUGACAUGCUUUCUGAUGGACUCUAACUUUUUCAUCUGCUGAUAGCCUGAGAGCUUCUUCCCUGCCUCCCUCUGCAGAGGCUUUUGGAGGACUGAUUCUUGUGAGCAGGCACCUCUGUCCUCCUGAGUUUGCUACAAAUAUUGUGUCUGCUGGUGCAAGAAACCCUCCUUAGGUCAAAGCUACAGGCAGGCCAGAAGUGCUUAACAGUCCUGAAGCCAAGAAAGCAGGUGAGAAUCUGGUAAAAGCAAACCUAAGAUGCUGUGAAACCAGUUGCGAUAAUUAAUGGCUCUUUUUAUCUGAAGAUGCUUAGAAACUGACAUUUUCUGAAGAAAUGAGAGUGAGGUCUUUGUAAUAAACUAGGAAGAGUUUUUGUUUUUUGUUUUUUUUAAAAGAAGAUGUUUCAGCCAAUACAAGCAAUUACACAUUCCUAGGUGUCUCUCCCUGCUUGCAAUCUGUAACAGAAGAAAAACCCCUGAGAGACAAGUAGCCUAAUUUGGGUCAAGGGACAACCAGGCUGGACCAUCACCUGCAGCUCAGGUGUAGCCUUCAUGGAGUGCUGAAUGGGGGUGAUGAACCAGCCCUGUUCCCACCGCAGGGUGCUGCCCCAUGUGUACCUUGACAGCUCUCUGAGCGUCUCACCUCUGCAGGGACAGGAGACAUUGAGAUGCCAAGAGACAAUCUCAGCUACCACCUCUGCCAGCAGCCCGGUGUGUACCUCUGCUCAGCCUGGCAGCAGCUCCCUCGCUGGCAAGCGGAGCAGUCAGCAUCGACAGCCUCAGCCACCCACCUACAUACCUGCAUCCUUCCAGCCUCCCCCCCUCCCUCCAUCACCACCCAAAGUGGUGGAAGCAGCCUGGAAAACUGGUGGGACAUAUCUCCCCCAGAUGCUCCGAGGUCAACAGCGCUAGCCCAAGAGCAAAUCUGAUAUCGCAAGCGAGACCUCUCCCAGCGGGCAAGCGAGUAAUGAACUGGAGCUGGGCUGUAAUGAUUUAAAAAAAAUAAAAGUUUUUUAAGGCUGGCUGUCAAUGCCCCAGCUAGAUCUUAAAAAAGGGUUUAUUGUUCCUAGAGCAGAAAUACAAGAGAGCACUCUGCAUCUAUUUACGAUGCAGAAGGGUCAAAAAUGGCUCUUCUCCCUCGUGGGUCCUUGCAGCUUCUCUAGCAGAAUGAAAAGACACACGCAGAGCUUCAGCACCAGGGUGAAGAAGAGAAGAGCCCUCUGUUUCAACCCACCUGCUCUGUGAUGGUGACUUGCCCCGAAGAGUCUCAGGAAAAUCCUGUGUAAAUGGAACAUAAAUGUUUUAUGAAUUCAGCCCUGGUGGAGUAAAUUAAAGGGUCAUUAAUGGCCUCAUUAAAGAGCUUUGCACUUUGUUCUGAAUUAUGAAAGCUAUCAUGCAAUGUUAAACUAAAUGGAGUUUUCGGUGAGAUUUUAAAACUCUUUAACUAGUUAGUUCUCCCCCUCUGUCUCUAUUCUUUUCUCCCCCCCCUCCCUUUUUUUUU
This is a long non-coding RNA of Aquila chrysaetos chrysaetos, 2902 nucleotides long. RefSeq lists it as uncharacterized. The transcript is spliced from 3 exons. The record is from RefSeq and is a predicted model, not a curated record. NCBI's taxonomy places the organism in Eukaryota, Metazoa, Chordata, Aves, Accipitriformes, Accipitridae.